This 1675-nucleotide ribosomal RNA is filed under the name Escherichia coli O104:H4 str. 11-4522. RNAcentral describes it as "bacterial LSU rRNA". It matches the Rfam family "Bacterial large subunit ribosomal RNA", at positions 1270 to 2925 of the family's 2925-position model. Lineage: Bacteria; Pseudomonadati; Pseudomonadota; Gammaproteobacteria; Enterobacterales; Enterobacteriaceae. The record is from RNAcentral.
AUGCUGGAGGUAUCAGAAGUGCGAAUGCUGACAUAAGUAACGAUAAAGCGGGUGAAAAGCCCGCUCGCCGGAAGACCAAGGGUUCCUGUCCAACGUUAAUCGGGGCAGGGUGAGUCGACCCCUAAGGCGAGGCCGAAAGGCGUAGUCGAUGGGAAACAGGUUAAUAUUCCUGUACUUGGUGUUACUGCGAAGGGGGGACGGAGAAGGCUAUGUUGGCCGGGCGACGGUUGUCCCGGUUUAAGCGUGUAGGCUGGUUUUCCAGGCAAAUCCGGAAAAUCAAGGCUGAGGCGUGAUGACGAGGCACUACGGUGCUGAAGCAACAAAUGCCCUGCUUCCAGGAAAAGCCUCUAAGCAUCAGGUAACAUCAAAUCGUACCCCAAACCGACACAGGUGGUCAGGUAGAGAAUACCAAGGCGCUUGAGAGAACUCGGGUGAAGGAACUAGGCAAAAUGGUGCCGUAACUUCGGGAGAAGGCACGCUGAUAUGUAGGUGAAGCCCCUCGCGGAUGGAGCUGAAAUCAGUCGAAGAUACCAGCUGGCUGCAACUGUUUAUUAAAAACACAGCACUGUGCAAACACGAAAGUGGACGUAUACGGUGUGACGCCUGCCCGGUGCCGGAAGGUUAAUUGAUGGGGUCAGCGCAAGCGAAGCUCUUGAUCGAAGCCCCGGUAAACGGCGGCCGUAACUAUAACGGUCCUAAGGUAGCGAAAUUCCUUGUCGGGUAAGUUCCGACCUGCACGAAUGGCGUAAUGAUGGCCAGGCUGUCUCCACCCGAGACUCAGUGAAAUUGAACUCGCUGUGAAGAUGCAGUGUACCCGCGGCAAGACGGAAAGACCCCGUGAACCUUUACUAUAGCUUGACACUGAACAUUGAGCCUUGAUGUGUAGGAUAGGUGGGAGGCUUUGAAGUGUGGACGCCAGUCUGCAUGGAGCCGACCUUGAAAUACCACCCUUUAAUGUUUGAUGUUCUAACGUGGACCCGUAAUCCGGGUUGCGGACAGUGUCUGGUGGGUAGUUUGACUGGGGCGGUCUCCUCCUAAAGAGUAACGGAGGAGCACGAAGGUUGGCUAAUCCUGGUCGGACAUCAGGAGGUUAGUGCAAUGGCAUAAGCCAGCUUGACUGCGAGCGUGACGGCGCGAGCAGGUGCGAAAGCAGGUCAUAGUGAUCCGGUGGUUCUGAAUGGAAGGGCCAUCGCUCAACGGAUAAAAGGUACUCCGGGGAUAACAGGCUGAUACCGCCCAAGAGUUCAUAUCGACGGCGGUGUUUGGCACCUCGAUGUCGGCUCAUCACAUCCUGGGGCUGAAGUAGGUCCCAAGGGUAUGGCUGUUCGCCAUUUAAAGUGGUACGCGAGCUGGGUUUAGAACGUCGUGAGACAGUUCGGUCCCUAUCUGCCGUGGGCGCUGGAGAACUGAGGGGGGCUGCUCCUAGUACGAGAGGACCGGAGUGGACGCAUCACUGGUGUUCGGGUUGUCAUGCCAAUGGCACUGCCCGGUAGCUAAAUGCGGAAGAGAUAAGUGCUGAAAGCAUCUAAGCACGAAACUUGCCCCGAGAUGAGUUCUCCCUGACUCCUUGAGAGUCCUGAAGGAACGUUGAAGACGACGACGUUGAUAGGCCGGGUGUGUAAGCGCAGCGAUGCGUUGAGCUAACCGGUACUAAUGAACCGUGAGGCUUAACCUU